RNAcentral lists this ribosomal RNA (175 nucleotides) under Aeromonas salmonicida subsp. salmonicida. Its description in RNAcentral is "partial 16S ribosomal RNA". It matches the Rfam family "Bacterial small subunit ribosomal RNA", at positions 1365 to 1533 of the family's 1533-position model. Lineage: Bacteria; Pseudomonadati; Pseudomonadota; Gammaproteobacteria; Aeromonadales; Aeromonadaceae. The record is from RNAcentral.
AAUACGUUCCCGGGCCUUGUACACACCGCCCGUCACACCAUGGGAGUGGGUUGCACCAGAAGUAGAUAGCUUAACCUUCGGGAGGGCGUUUACCACGGUGUGAUUCAUGACUGGGGUGAAGUCGUAACAAGGUAACCCUAGGGGAACCUGGGGUUGGAUCACCUCCUUACCUUAA